AGAACGAACGCUGGCGGCAUGCCUAAUACAUGCAAGUCGAACGAACUCUUCGGAGUUAGUGGCACACGGGUGCGUAACGCGUGGGAAUCUGCCCCUUGGUUCGGAAUAACAGUUGGAAACGACUGCUAAUACCGGAUGAUGACGAAAGUCCAAAGAUUUAUCGCCAAGGGAUGAGCCCGCGUAGGAUUAGCUAGUUGGUGAGGUAAAGGCUCACCAAGGCAACGAUCCUUAGCUGGUCUGAGAGGAUGAUCAGCCACACUGGGACUGAGACACGGCCCAGACU
RNAcentral lists this ribosomal RNA (283 nucleotides) under uncultured soil bacterium. Its description in RNAcentral is "partial 16S ribosomal RNA". It matches the Rfam family "Bacterial small subunit ribosomal RNA", at positions 26 to 337 of the family's 1533-position model. The record is from RNAcentral.